UACAGAGGAGCCAAGCGUUGUCCGGAUUGACUGGGCGUAAAGCGCACGCAGGCGGUCUUGCGCGUGGGGUGUGAAAUCUGGCCGCUUAACGGCCAGGCGCCAUCCCAUACGGCUCGACUGGAGUGAUGCAGAGGUCGAUGGAAUUGCCGGUGUAGUGGUGAAAUGCGUAGAGAUCGGCAGGAACACCCAGGGGGAAACCAGUCGACUGGGCAUCUACUGACGCUGAGGUGCGAGAGCGUGGGGAGCGAACAGG
RNAcentral lists this ribosomal RNA (253 nucleotides) under uncultured bacterium. Its description in RNAcentral is "partial 16S ribosomal RNA". It matches the Rfam family "Bacterial small subunit ribosomal RNA", at positions 524 to 776 of the family's 1533-position model. The record is from RNAcentral.